This 846-nucleotide ribosomal RNA is filed under the name uncultured archaeon. RNAcentral's name for it is "bacterial SSU rRNA". It matches the Rfam family "Archaeal small subunit ribosomal RNA", at positions 415 to 1261 of the family's 1478-position model. The record is from RNAcentral.
AGUUGUAGAAUCACUGGUGAAUAAGGGGUGGGCAAGUUCUGAUGUCAGCCGCCGCGGUAAAACCAGCACCUCGAGUGGUCAGGAGGUUUAUUGGGCCUAAAACAUCCGUAGCCGGUUGCAUAAGUUUUCGGUUAAAUCUAUGCGCUUAACGUAUAGGCCGCCGAAAAUACUGUGCAGCUAGGGAGUGGGAGAGGUACACGGUACUCGAUAGGAAGGGGUAAAAUCCUUUGAUCUAUUGAUGACCACCUGUGGCGAAGGCGGUGUACCAGAACACGUUCGACGGUGAGGGAUGAAAGCUGGGGGAGCAAACCGGAUUAGAUACCCGGGUAGUCCCAGCUGUAAACGAUGCAGACUCGGUGAUGCAUUGGCUUGUGGCCAAUGCAGUGCCGCAGGGAAGCCGUUAAGUCUGCCGCCUGGGAAGUACGUACGCAAGUAUGAAACUUAAAGGAAUUGGCGGGGGAGCACCACAAGGGGUGAAGCCUGCGGUUCAAUUGGAGUCAACGCCAGAAAUCUUACCUGGGGAGACAGCAGAAUGAAGGUCAAGCUGAAGACUUUACCAGACACGCUGAGAGGUGGUGCAUGGCCGUCGCCAGCUCGUGCCGUGAGAUGUCCUGUUAAGUCAGGUAACGAGCGAGACCCCUGCGUCUAGUUGCUACCAUUACUCUCUGGAGCAGUGGAGCGAAUUAGACGGACCGCCACAGUUAAUGUGGAGGAAGGAAGGGGCCACGGCAGGUCAGUAUGCCCCGAAACCCUAGGGCUACACGCGGGCUGCAAUGGUAUUGACAUGUGUUCCGAAUCCGAAAGGAGGAGGCAAUCAUCAAACAUAUCUCAGUUAUGACUGAGGGC